UAAUACGUAGGGUGCGAGCGUUAAUCGGAAUUACUGGGCGUAAAGCGUGCGCAGGCGGUUCGACAAGUCUGAUGUGAAAUCCCCGGGCUCAACCUGGGAACUGCGUUGGAAACUGUCGGGCUAGAGUGUAGAAGAGGGGGGUAGAAUUCCACGUGUAGCAGUGAAAUGCGUAGAGAUGUGGAGGAAUACCGAUGGCGAAGGCAGCCCCCUGGGCUAACACUGACGCUCAUGCACGAAAGCGUGGGGAGCAAACAGG
RNAcentral lists this ribosomal RNA (256 nucleotides) under uncultured bacterium. Its description in RNAcentral is "partial 16S ribosomal RNA". It matches the Rfam family "Bacterial small subunit ribosomal RNA", at positions 521 to 776 of the family's 1533-position model. The record is from RNAcentral.